RNAcentral lists this small RNA (531 nucleotides) under Arabidopsis thaliana (thale cress). RNAcentral describes it as "ATSL265740". The record is from RNAcentral. Lineage: Eukaryota; Viridiplantae; Streptophyta; Magnoliopsida; Brassicales; Brassicaceae.
UUAUGACAUAUGGAUAGCCUAUGUCAAAAUACGCGAUUGAGGAUGAAAAUAUAUGUCUGGCGGACAGUGCUUCUACACACUAUCUUUAAAGAUAAAAGUACUUCUCCUCUCUCGAAAUAAAUGACUCCGCUAGAAGCGUGAGUACUAUAAAUGGCCAUGCAAAGAUAAUAUUAGGCUUUGGCAAAGUCAAUUUUACAAUGCCAAGGGGAUCUCAUUUUAAAGUAAAUGAUGCAUUAUACUCCCCUAAAUCUCAUAGAAACUUGAUAAGUUUCAAAGAUAUCCAAAGUAAUGGAUAUCAUAUAGAGACUAUGAAUAAAGAUGGCAUUGAAUAUCUUUGCAUAAAAUCCGAGAGGCAAUAUAUAUUAAGAAUUGCCAAUGCUAUCCUGCAGAUUAUAUUGCACAAAAAUAAAUAUAAUCGCAUCAGAUGUUAAUGUAAACUCGAGUGACAAUCACUCGUGUGAGUUUACUAGUACAUUUAAGAUAUGACAUGAAAGACUUGGACAUCCUGGUUAAGUCAUGAUGCGAAAAAUU